UACGUAGGGGGCUAGCGUUGUCCGGAUUUAUUGGGCGUAAAGAGCGUGUAGGCGGCCAGGUAGGUCUGCUGUGAAAACUCGAGGCUCAACCUCGAGACGUCGGCGGAAACCAUCUGGCUAGAGUCCGGAAGAGGAGAGUGGAAUUCCUGGUGUAGCGGUGAAAUGCGCAGAUAUCAGGAAGAACACCCGUGGCGAAGGCGGCUCUCUGAGACGGUACUGACGCUGAGACGCGAAAGCGUGGGGAGCGAACAGG
This 253-nucleotide ribosomal RNA is filed under the name uncultured bacterium. RNAcentral describes it as "partial 16S ribosomal RNA". It matches the Rfam family "Bacterial small subunit ribosomal RNA", at positions 524 to 776 of the family's 1533-position model. The record is from RNAcentral.